RNAcentral lists this transfer RNA (89 nucleotides) under Bacteroidota bacterium. RNAcentral describes it as "tRNA-Ser". It matches the Rfam family "tRNA". Rfam says of the family: Transfer RNA (tRNA) molecules are approximately 80 nucleotides in length. Their secondary structure includes four short double-helical elements and three loops (D, anti-codon, and T loops). Further hydrogen bonds mediate the characteristic L-shaped molecular structure. tRNAs have two regions of fundamental functional importance: the anti-codon, which is responsible for specific mRNA codon recognition, and the 3' end, to which the tRNAs corresponding amino acid is attached (by aminoacyl-tRNA synthetases). tRNAs cope with the degeneracy of the genetic code in two manners: having more than one tRNA (with a specific anti-codon) for a particular amino acid; and 'wobble' base-pairing, i.e. permitting non-standard base-pairing at the 3rd anti-codon position. RNAcentral also lists the same sequence under 1 other name. Lineage: Bacteria; Pseudomonadati; Bacteroidota. The record is from RNAcentral.
GGAGGGGUGGCGGAGCCUGGUUGAACGCACCGGUCUUGAAAACCGGCAUACCUUUACGGGUAUCGUGGGUUCGAAUCCCACCCCCUCCG